This 255-nucleotide ribosomal RNA is filed under the name uncultured bacterium. RNAcentral's name for it is "partial 16S ribosomal RNA". It matches the Rfam family "Bacterial small subunit ribosomal RNA", at positions 524 to 777 of the family's 1533-position model. The record is from RNAcentral.
UACAGAGGUCUCAAGCGUUGUUCGGAUUCAUUGGGCGUAAAGGGUGCGUAGGCGGCGCGGUAAGUCGGGUGUGAAAUCUCGGGGCUUAACUCCGAAACUGCAUUCGAUACUGCCGUGCUUGAGGACUGGAGAGGAGACUGGAAUUUACGGUGUAGCGGUGAAAUGCGUAGAUAUCGUAAGGAAGACCAGUGGCGAAGGCGGGUCUCUGGACAGUUCCUGACGCUGAGGCACGAAGGCCAGGGGGAGCAAACGGGG